AUUUAAAGGCUCCCAAUCAGGCCCGUAUCAGAAUACAGGAGCAGCACAAUGUACACAAAAUCAUCAUCAUGACCAACUUUGAUCUACACUGGACUACAUGAGCUGCUGCUACAUAAACAAAAGUUUUUACCCCUCAGUCGGCUGAUGUCAUCAUCCCAGUUUGGCGUGCGGGCGGUGUGGACGUCCAACUUUACGAAGGUCUCUGUGAUGUCAUUGAGAGUGAACGCUUUUGUAUGAUGAUCCCAGCCACUGUGAGCUCAGAAACCCCACCCACUGCACUUCAAACUUUCUAUUUGUGAGGGCAGCUAAUCAGAAUAGUUUGUUUUAGAUCAAGGAUGAAGUGACAGGUUGAGUCACGGCCAACACAAGUACAUAAGAAAUGUUUUGUAAGCCCAUGAAUUAAAGCUGGAAGUAAGCUUAGGCUAAAACAGCAGAGCAAAUUAAGUAAACCUUAAAAACAUUAUUUUCUUCAGUAAAAUUUACUAACAGCUCACUUAAUAGAGGUAAACUUAAAAGUAUUUAACACAGCUGAAUAGAUCUGAACAAAAGUGAAUUUAAUUUAAAUGAAAUGAGCGAAAUGGGAGGGGGAUGGCAAUAAGUCUUCCACAGGUGAUGAAAAGGCAGCGUGCGAGCGUGUCAUUUAAUGUAUUGUUAGGCUAAUUUCUCGACAGCCUCCUGCAGAGACACAUUGUUUCAUUUCAAUAUCAAACGCCUGUGAGGAAAAGCUUUUUAAAAGGCGCACUAAUUGUUGUAAUGGUCUGUUCUUCUGCACCUCUCCCGCAACCUCUCUCUCCUCCUUUCACACUGUAUUAUAAUGACCCGCUCCCGUCUUCCUCUCUCUCUCGAUCCACGCACACACCAGCACAGAUUUUUGAGUGACAGUUUAAUGAGAAGUGCUUUUCCAUUAAACAGACAAAAGGAGAGAACGCAUCAAUUAACACCCACUUACAAACAACACACACGCGCACAUACACAUUUCUAGAUGCGUGAGAUUUUGUGCUUCGUUCUCUAUCACACACACACACACACACACACACACACACACACACACACACACACAGAUUACAGAUGAAUUAAUGAAAUAACUCAUAAGUAAACCAAUGCAUUGAUCCCGGUCACAUUUUAUAUGUCUGAACGCUGUUACAGCUACACUAAUAUAUGUUUAUUUUAAAACAAUAUUUUCAGUUGAAAAUGAUCUAUGUGCAGAUCUUUAUCCAGGGUACACAUGUGAGUGCUGGAUUAAACAGCAGGCAGAGAGAAGAUGGUGUAAAAACUGAGGCUGGUGAAUUCUUCCAAGGACCAGUGAUGAGAUGGAACUGAAAGUUGCACAUGGGUGUAAGGCGGUUAUGGAGGUGGAAAACAGAUUGGAAGCUGCUGCAAAGCAAAUAUGACAAAAGAGCAGUGCCAGCAGGAAACCGUGGCAAGGAGGACCCACACAAGAAAGAUGGAAAUAAUAUAUGUCAGUCUAGCUACCAUGUGUUGCCUUAAUUAUUGUGAUUGGGAAGAUCCAGUCAGGAAGCAAACAUCUGUGUCUGGAAAUGCUCAUUUUCUUCUUUUGUUUUAAAACUUUUUACACUUAAACUUCAGACUAUGUUUACUAAAUGAGCUCAAUCCUCACAGGUGUGGUUAGUUUUCAUUUUUGCUGUUUUUUUUUUUUUAAAUACAGUGCAAAACACAUUUUUUCUGUGUGUUUUGAGAAAAGAACUCCCAGAAGUACAUAUGCAGCAUGGUCAGCCACAAAAUUCAACGAGUUCCCGCCUCCUACACAUUCGUCACUGCGCUCUCAACGCAGCCAAACGCUCCAUGACAUCAUUUGUAUCCGACAGAAACAACACGAAGACAACCAGGUGACCGUAUAUCUGCUGCAUGGCUUUUUGUCACACUUGUGCACGCAUUCCACUCGUUUCAAAAAUUAGGAUCAGAUCGCUUUGAACCCCGGCCGAGUAGGUACUAAUAAAGUACCUGGUACCAGGUACUACCAUCCAAUAGAAAAACGAGCUGAGGAAAAGGGUUGUUUGUAAAUACAAGCAGUACUUUUUU
Long non-coding RNA from Oreochromis niloticus (Nile tilapia), 2040 nucleotides. RefSeq lists it as uncharacterized. Lineage: Eukaryota; Metazoa; Chordata; Actinopteri; Cichliformes; Cichlidae. The record is from RefSeq and is a predicted model, not a curated record. The transcript has 3 exons.